This 765-nucleotide long non-coding RNA is filed under the name Marmota monax (woodchuck). Lineage: Eukaryota; Metazoa; Chordata; Mammalia; Rodentia; Sciuridae. The record is from RNAcentral.
GCCAGCAGUGGUAGUGCACCCCUGUAAUCCCAGGAACUCGGGAGGCUGAGGCAGAAGGAUGGCAAGUCCAAGGCCAGCCUCAGCAACUAAGUGAGACCCUGUCUCAAAAUUAAUCAUUUUUGAAAAGGGCUGGGGAUGUGGCUUGGUGGUUAAGCGCCCUUGGGUUCAAUCCCCGGUAUGGAAAAAAAAAAAAGAUUAGGGGUCAGGAUAAAGAUAUAAUAUGUGGAGUCCAUUAGAAUAAUAAUAGACUUAGCUAAUAAAUAACCGCCUGGAGGGCUCUCCCAAUGCCAGGACCUACCAGGCUCUUACCGCGUCAUUGCUCCUCAGGGCCAUCUUGUGCUGGAGACCGUGAUUAGCCCCACUCUACAGAUAAGGAGACCGAGGCCUCCAGAAGUAGAGUAGCACGUCCAGCCUCGUCAAUAUGUGAUUGUGGGAGUUUGGAAUCCAAAUCCUGGCGUAAUUGACUCCGGAGCCUUUGGGUCCUCUACCCGGUCAGUUCUACCCUGGGCAGGGGGAGAAUCGUUGGGACAGGGUCUUUAACAGGUUGGUGGAACCUCCCUCCUAAAUCAUCUUGAAAAGCCGACUCGGGCUGAGUCAAGGGGCAGGAGGGCAUCUCAUGGUCACCCUCCCUUCUCCAGGAACUGGGAGCCACGGGGCCUCGCGGAGGCUCUGGACCUCCUGGAAGGUGGCGGAAUCCAGCAUGGCUGGCCGGGGACCCGAGGCCAAGGGCGGCGGGCGGCUGGCAGCUAUGGGGAGAGAGCUGAG